Molecule: long non-coding RNA, 650 nt
Organism: Zea mays
Lineage: Eukaryota; Viridiplantae; Streptophyta; Magnoliopsida; Poales; Poaceae
Exons: 3
Source: RefSeq, a predicted model, not a curated record
GCAGGAGGAACCAUCUGUAGUUGGGUCCUACUAUAACAAGCGGAUAGUCGGCUGCCCUGGUGGUGAGGGAGAGGAUGAACACUAUGUUGUAUGGUUCUGGUUGAAAAAAGAUGAGCCGCAUGAGUGUCCAGUCUGCUCGCAAUACUUUGUGCUUAAGGUCAUUGGUGAUGGUGGUGAUCUAGAUGUUCAUGACGAUGAAGAUGAUGGACAUCACUAAGGAUGCCUUGUGGUUCUGAAAAUAAGAACUUGGUGAGGCAGAUGAAUCCAAUACACUUCUUUUUUCUAGAACCAGACUGCUCCACGGCAUCCUUGUUUAUGAAAAGACAGUUGGCCAUCAAGCAGGUGGUAGUUUUCACCUAGGGAUUUUGUCCAAACAAAAGUUGUCUGAGAUUUGACCCAUGCGUUUCUUUAAGAGCAUCGUCGAAUAAAAGAUGAAUGCAGUCAGAUUGCUUUCUUUUGAUACAUCAUAUUGGCCCAUCGGGUGUGAUGGACAUGUAAUAUUCAGUUAUGGAACAACCCCAUUUCUAUGCUUAGCGUGCUGGGAAUUUUGCAAAAGGCCUCCUAUAUCAUUGACGAGUUUUAAGCCAGAGUUUGAUGAUCCAACAUGUUUAUGACCAUUGUUUUAAUAGUCAUGCUAUUCUGUGACAAUC